GGACGGGACGGGAGGCAAGUGGGCGGGGGCACAGCACAGCGGUGGUCAGUGGUAAGUGGUGGUCUAGUCUAGUGGCUGGCUGGCGCUCUGCCGCCCGCGCAGCCACAAGCCCCCCCAGCGCACGCCGUCCCCUUCCCCGUUCCCAAUCUCUCCGCCUCCCCUCCCCAACCAAACCAAACGCACGGCCACACCGCCGCUGCGCCACCACCCACACACUCCCACCCACCAUCACGCCACGCCUGCAGAGCCAGAGACUCUGAGCCGCCGUGCCGACGCCGACGCCUACGCCGAGCGCCCGCACGCUCCGCUCCCAUGGUCUCCGCCAACCAGCCGCCGCCCGACGCGGCCGCGGCAGCGGCGGGCUCGGCUGGGGAGGACGCCAGCAAGAAGGUGCGGAAGCCGUACACCAUCACCAAGUCGCGCGAGAGCUGGACGGAGCAGGAGCACGACAAGUUCCUUGAGGCCCUCCAGCUCUUUGAUCGUGAUUGGAAAAAGAUAGAAGCUUUUGUUGGAUCGAAGACUGUUAUUCAGAUUAGGAGCCAUGCACAGAAGUAUUUUUUGAAGGUUCAAAAGAAUGGAACAAGUGAGCAUGUCCCACCUCCACGACCAAAGCGUAAAGCUGCUCAUCCAUACCCUCAAAAGGCCUCCAAAAAUGAGCCAGGAUAUACCAUAAAGGCAGAUUCAUCUUCCAUGCUUAGGAACUCAGGCAUGAAUGCCACUGUUUCGUCAUGGACACACAAUUCUAUCCCACCAAUUGUAGCCUCAUCCAUGGUGAAAGAAGAUUUAAUCCUUAUCUUCUUUCACUCAGAAGAUUUAGGUGCUGGAGCAAUGGCCCCCAACAAUUUUUGCUCUAGCAGUACUGAAGGCCCUGCGAGGGCAUGGCAACCUGGUGAAACUAAUGAUCAGAUAAAUCAAGUUCCGUCACUCCGCCUUAUGCCAGAUUUUGCACAAGUAUACAGCUUCUUGGGCAGCGUUUUCGAUCCAAGCACAAGUGGCCAUUUACAGAAACUAAAGGAGAUGAAUCCAAUUGAUGUUGAGACGGCAUUGUUGUUAAUGAGAAAUCUCUCCAUCAAUUUGACUAGUCCUGAUUUUGAAGAUCAGCAGGGUUGCCCAUUUGCCAUGGUUUCUGGUACUGUCUGUGCAGAAUGGCUGGAAUGUAUGGGCAGCUAUCAGAAAAUGUGUGCAAAGUCACCAAAUUUUAGCAAACUUUUGAAACUAUCAGAAAUUUUUGGUAUGUACCAAUAUCAAAUUUUCUCCAGUACAGCAGGUCUUAAGUUCUAGCCCUUCUCUUGUAACACACAAUUGAGAUGAUGUAUAUAAGCCAUAACAUUAUGAAGCAUGAGGGCAUCCAAAAUAAUAAUAAUAAUAAUAAUAAAAGGUUGAUACCAUAUUGAAUUUUCUUUUCAAAAGAGUUACUCACCACUGAAAAAAAUAGCUUUCUUUAGUAUGUUGGACAUGCUGUGCAUCAUAGCAAUUUGAAAUAGGAUGUCAUUUACAAGGCUACACAAUUAUGGCAUUCAGUAUGCUUCCAUUACCCAAUUAGAGCAUAUGUCUGUUCUUCUGAAAAAAGGAACUAACCUGUGUCCUAUGAAAUUUAUUAUAGAAGAAGUUGCUAUCUUCAUACAGUACCCCGUCUGAUGGGCUUGAGCUAGGAAGCACCAGAAGCUCAGUUCUAGCUGAUAGACCAUUAAGUGCUCCAUUCAUGAUUAAGGGCGAAUAGUGCUGAGAAAGUGUGAGGUCUCUUCCCUGGCCAAACUGGCUAAAAGGUGCUGAGAAGUCUCUCCACCGAUAAUUUCAGCUCGUCAGUCAUUCGGAGCUUGGUGAAGCACUAGGAAGGCACUUUGCAACAUUGUAUCUCUAGCUAAGCUUCAAGCCUUCAACUGCAGAAUGUGUAAGGGUGCAACCGUGUACAGUAGGCUUGCACAGGUGAGAUCUGUCUAUAGCGGUAUAAUAGCCUAAUUGUGUAUAUAUGUUAGCCCUGAAGCGUGUAGUUUUCCUCACCCAAUACCUCGGUCGCCUUGGCGCGCAAAUCUUUCUCUAGUUAAAAGGCUGUUCUUAGUAAUGGGAAAUGGAAAGGAAAUUUUGAGUGAUGCUGGAUUGCUGGUUGCUCCCUUUUUCCUCCAUUGAGUUCAGCUGGUGAUGGCAUUCUCGUUUCUGUCAUCUGGCAGAGAAGGCACUACUGCCCCAAGUGACCCAUGGCAUAGCCAGAAACAGAAUGCUCCAUCAGUCCAUCUGAUGAGAUAUGUGUGAAGAGGUUUCAGCUGAGCUGAUUAUAGUGCUGUAAAGCGGCUUAGCACUAUGUAAAUCAUGUGUUAUGCACCAUGUAUCAUGUAUGAUCCUUGGAAGUUCUGGAUGCAAAAGUGAGUUGUGCACUUGCCAUGUAAGUUCUCUAUGAUGAAAAAGGCCAAGUGUACUAUUGUCUAUGUAUAUCAUUUCAGUUUUUGCAUAACUGCAAUCGGUAAGGAGUGAAAGCCUCCGGAUACCUACCGGGAUUUGAAUA
Non-coding RNA from Oryza sativa Japonica Group (Japanese rice), 2500 nucleotides. The record is from RefSeq and is a predicted model, not a curated record. Lineage: Eukaryota; Viridiplantae; Streptophyta; Magnoliopsida; Poales; Poaceae.